Molecule: long non-coding RNA, 476 nt
Filed under: Elaeis guineensis (African oil palm)
Lineage: Eukaryota; Viridiplantae; Streptophyta; Magnoliopsida; Arecales; Arecaceae
Description: long non-coding RNA (EGUI_LNC051983)
Source: RNAcentral
AAGUGAAAAAGUGGGAUAUGGUGGAAAAUGUUGAAUGCCCUUCUCAGCCAGCUAGAUCACUAGAUUGUGGCCUGUAUGAUUUAAAAUUCAUGUAUUAUCUUGCUUGCAAGGAUAAGUCAUACCAUUGGGACUUCACACAAUGAUAUCAGUCAAUACCAGCGACUGCUUGGAGCAAGAAUCUUGAAGAAGGGCCUCAAUCAGAAGAUAGAAGGAGUUUUUAAAAAUUAGGAUAAAAAUACUAAAUAUCUAUUAUGAUAUUUUCUUUUCAGUUCUUUGAUUUUUGUAAUUGGAUCAGAAAUCUAUAAUUCAACAGAUGUUAUCCCUUCGAUAUACUCUUUAUUUAUUUCAAUUUGUGUAGUUUUUCAAAGAUAAAAUGACGUUAAAUUAUGUGCCUAAAUACCAUAAAUUUCUGCCUAAAUGUCAUAAUAUUAUACAGAAAUAUCAUAAUGUCAUAAACUUUUAAAUGGAUGAUAGGA